This 253-nucleotide ribosomal RNA is filed under the name uncultured bacterium. RNAcentral describes it as "partial 16S ribosomal RNA". It matches the Rfam family "Bacterial small subunit ribosomal RNA", at positions 524 to 776 of the family's 1533-position model. The record is from RNAcentral.
CACGUAGGGGACGAGCGUUGUCCGGAUUCAUUGGGCGUAAAGAGCUCGUAGGCGGCUGCUCAAGUCAGUUGUGAAAUCUCCGAGCUUAACUCGGAAAGGUCAACUGAUACUGUGCGGCUAGAGUGCAGAAGGGGCAACUGGAAUUCUUGGUGUAGCGGUGAAAUGCGUAGAUAUCAAGAGGAACACCUGCGGCGAAGGCGGGUUGCUGGGCUGACACUGACGCUGAAGCGCGAAAGCCAGGGGAGCGAACGGG